RNAcentral lists this ribosomal RNA (2061 nucleotides) under Staphylococcus pseudintermedius. Its description in RNAcentral is "partial 23S ribosomal RNA". It matches the Rfam family "Bacterial large subunit ribosomal RNA", at positions 72 to 2132 of the family's 2925-position model. Lineage: Bacteria; Bacillati; Bacillota; Bacilli; Caryophanales; Staphylococcaceae. The record is from RNAcentral.
UAUGCUUUGGGGAGCUGUAAGUAAGCUUUGAUCCAGAGAUUUCCGAAUGGGGAAACCCAGCACGAGUUAUGUCGUGUUAUCUGCAUGUGAAUACAUAGCAUGCAAGAAGGCAGACCCGGAGAACUGAAACAUCUUAGUACCCGGAGGAAGAGAAAGAAAAAUCGAUUCCCUGAGUAGCGGCGAGCGAAACGGGAAGAGCCCAAACCAAUAAGCUUGCUUAUUGGGGUUGUAGGACACUCUGUACGGAGUUACAAAAGAAUUUGUUAGACGAAUAACCUGGAAAGGUUAAUCAGAGAAGGUAAUAAUCCUGUAGUCGAAAACGAAUUCUCUCUUGAGUGGAUCCUGAGUACGACGGAGCACGUGAAAUUCCGUCGGAAUCUGGGAGGACCAUCUCCUAAGGCUAAAUACUCUCUAGUGACCGAUAGUGAACCAGUACCGUGAGGGAAAGGUGAAAAGUACCCCGGAAGGGGAGUGAAAGAGAACUUGAAACCGUGUGCUUACAAGUAGUCAGAGCCCGUUAAUGGGUGAUGGCGUGCCUUUUGUAGAAUGAACCGGCGAGUUACGAUCUGAUGCAAGGUUAAGCAGAAAAUGUGGAGCCGUAGCGAAAGCGAGUCUGAAUAGGGCGAAUGAGUAUUUGGUCGUAGACCCGAAACCAGGUGAUCUACCCUUGGUCAGGUUGAAGUUCAGGUAACACUGAAUGGAGGACCGAACCGACUUACGUUGAAAAGUGAGCGGAUGAACUGAGGGUAGCGGAGAAAUUCCAAUCGAACUUGGAGAUAGCUGGUUCUCUCCGAAAUAGCUUUAGGGCUAGCCUCAAGUGAUGAUUAUUGGAGGUAGAGCACUGUUUGGACGAGGGGCCCCUCUCGGGUUACCGAAUUCAGACAAACUCCGAAUGCCAAAUAAUUUAACUUGGGAGUCAGAAUGUGGGUGAUAAGGUCCAUAUUCGAAAGGGAAACAGCCCAGACCACCAGCUAAGGUCCCAAAAUAUAUGUUAAGUGGAAAAGGAUGUGGCGUUGCCCAGACAACUAGGAUGUUGGCUUAGAAGCAGCCAUCAUUUAAAGAGUGCGUAAUAGCUCACUAGUCGAGUGACACUGCGCCGAAAAUGUACCGGGGCUAAACAUAUUACCGAAGCUGUGGAUUGUCCUUUGGACAAUGGUAGGAGAGCGUUCUAAGGGCGUUGAAGCAUGAUCGCAAGGACAUGUGGAGCGCUUAGAAGUGAGAAUGCCGGUGUGAGUAGCGAAAGACGGGUGAGAAUCCCGUCCACCGAUUGACUAAGGUUUCCAGAGGAAGGCUCGUCCGCUCUGGGUUAGUCGGGUCCUAAGCUGAGGCCGACAGGCGUAGGCGAUGGAUAACAGGUUGAUAUUCCUGUACCACCAUUAUUCGUUUUAAGCGAUGGGGGGACGCAGUAGGAUAGGCGAAGCGUGCUGUUGGAGUGCACGUCCAAGCAGUGAGAUUGAGUGUUAGGCAAAUCCGGCACUCUUAAGAUUGAGCUGUGAUGGGGAGAGGAACUUGUUCCUCGAGUCGUUGAUUUCACACUGCCGAGAAAAGCCUCUAGCUAGAAUAACGGUGCCCGUACCGCAAACCGACACAGGUAGUCAAGAUGAGAAUUCUAAGGUGAGCGAGCGAACUCUCGUUAAGGAACUCGGCAAAAUGACCCCGUAACUUCGGGAGAAGGGGUGCUCUUUGAGGUUCACGCUUCGAAGAGCCGCAGUGAAUAGGCCCAAGCGACUGUUUAUCAAAAACACAGGUCUCUGCUAAACCGUAAGGUGACGUAUAGGGGCUGACGCCUGCCCGGUGCUGGAAGGUUAAGAGGAGUGGUUAGCGCAAGCGAAGCUACGAAUCGAAGCCCCAGUAAACGGCGGCCGUAACUAUAACGGUCCUAAGGUAGCGAAAUUCCUUGUCGGGUAAGUUCCGACCCGCACGAAAGGCGUAACGAUUUGGGCACUGUCUCAACGAGAGACUCGGUGAAAUCAUAGUACCGGUGAAGAUGCCGGUUACCCGCGACAGGACGGAAAGACCCCGUGGAGCUUUACUGUAGCCUGAUAUUGAAAUUCGGUACAG